This 855-nucleotide ribosomal RNA is filed under the name Triticum aestivum (bread wheat). RNAcentral describes it as "partial small subunit ribosomal RNA". The record is from RNAcentral. Lineage: Eukaryota; Viridiplantae; Streptophyta; Magnoliopsida; Poales; Poaceae.
AUGUAUUGGGAUUUGAAAGACAUUUUCUGGUGGACCGAAAUGAAGAAGGAUAUUGCGGAGUACGUAGCAGUUUGUGAUGUAUGUCAGAGAGUAAAAGCAGAGCAUCAGAAGCCAGCAGGAUUGCUACAAUCAUUGCUGAUACUCGAAUGGAAGUGGGAUAAAUUAGGCAUGGGUUUUAUCACGGGAUUACCCAGGACUCGUUCAGGCUAUGACUCGAUUUGGGUUGUAGUCGAUCGAUUGAUGAAGGUAGCUCAUUUCAUCCCAAUAAAGACCACUUACACCAGUGCUAAGUUGGCAAAGAUAUACAUGACCAGGAUCGUAUGUCUACAUGGAGUUCCGAGGAGUAUCGUAUCAGAUAGAGGAACCCAGUUUACCUCAAAGUUCUGUAAGCGGUUGCAUGAAACUUUGGGUACCAGGCUAGAAUUCAGUACAGCUUUUCAUCCACAGAUAGAUGGACAGACCGAGAGAGUCAAUCAGAUUUUGGAGGAUAUGCUGAGAGCUUGUGCGCUAGAUUAUGGAUCUAGUUGGGACGACAAUUUGCCAUAUGCAGAGUUCUCUUACAAUAACAGUUACCAAACCAGUUUAAAGAUGGUCCCUUUCGAAGCUUUGUACGGAAGGAGGUGCAGGACACCGUUGUCGUGGGACGAAAUUGGAGAUCGUCAGUUGUUUGGACCCGACUUGAUUAAAGAGUCUGAACAGAAAGUGAAGUUGAUUCGCGACAGGCUCAAGAUAGCCCAGUCCAGACAGAAGAGUUAUGCAGAUUCUAAACGGAAGGAGACAGUUUACGAAGUUGGAGAUAGAGCUUAUCUUCGAGUAUCACCACUUCGGGGAACAAAGCGUUUUGGGGUUAAAUGA